Long non-coding RNA from Cyanistes caeruleus (blue tit), 693 nucleotides. The record is from Ensembl. NCBI's taxonomy places the organism in Eukaryota, Metazoa, Chordata, Aves, Passeriformes, Paridae.
CAAGAUGUUAGAGGAAGACUUCCUAGCUGUGGGCAUGAAACUGUAUUCUAGCUCAAUAAAUCUCAAAACACUAAUGAGGGUUCUAUUUUUAGGACAAUGAAGCAUGAAAACUAAGGCUUUUACUGGCAUGGGGAAGGAAUAAGCUGGCUGUUGGAAAGAUUCAGUUCUGCAUCAAGCUAUCCCUGAAGCUUUUACUACCAAUAAGACAAGGCAUGCAGUCUUGCAUUUUUUGAGGCAGAAACAGAGCAAUUGAGCCUUCAUUCAACUCCUUGCUGCAGAGGGGGGUGCUCAAGAUGGAAUGACAGCUCUGUGAAGCAACAAAUCAUCAAAAGGACAUCAAUGAUUUUUUUUCUUUUCUCUGCAAUGAGAAAGGAUUGUGUUCACUGUCUACAGACCUUCCUCUGCUAGGAAAAACUUAGUGAUUCACACCAUUAAGCUCUCUAGUUUGUCCUAUCUACUGCAAAGCAGCUAACAGCUGAGAGAAGUGAGACUGACAGUAUUGAGUCUGUCUAUCUCAAGUACUCAGAAUUGUGAGUCACAGUCCAAUGUCCUGAGCUUUAGAGAACAAUCUGAGGGAUCCUAUUACUUGCCUUCUGGUCUUCGAGACUUAAAUAGUUUCAUGCUUCUCUCUGCAAAACCAGAGAAGCUUGAAGAGUAAAUAAAUAAAAUACAAAUAUAAGUUGUGAAUAUAUU